Molecule: ribosomal RNA, 481 nt
Filed under: uncultured bacterium
Lineage: Bacteria
Description: bacterial SSU rRNA
Rfam family: Bacterial small subunit ribosomal RNA
Source: RNAcentral
UCAGGAUGAACGCUGGCGGCGUGCUUAACACAUUCAAGUCGAACGGUGAAGGGGGCUUCGGUUCCCGGAUCAGUGGCGGACGGGUGAGUAACGCGUGAAUAACCUGCCUGUGUGUGGGGGAUAACAGUUGGAAACGGCUGCUAAUACCGCAUAACGUACGGACACCGCAUGAUGACCGUACCAAAGAUUUAUUGCGCACAGAUGGAUUCGCGUCCGAUUAGAUAGUUGGUGAGGUAACGGCCCACCAAGUCGACGAUCGGUAGCCGGACUGAGAGGUCGAACGGCCACAUUGGAACUGAGACACGGUCCAGACUCCUACGGGAGGCAGCAGUGGGGAAUAUUGGGCAAUGGACGAAAGUCUGACCCAAGCGACGCCGCGUGAGGGAAGAAGAUCUUCGGAUUGUAAACCUUAGUCAACAGGGAAGAAGAAAGUGACGGUACCUGUGGAGGAAGCCACGGCUAACUACGUGCCAGCAGCUGC